UCACAAUGCCUAAACAGUGUGUGUUUGGUUGUGCGCCUAGUGAUGUCAGCCUUCAUUCAUUUCCAAACCCUAAAAGAUUCAGUCGGCAAUUGAAUGCUUGGGUUGAUCUUACUGGUUAUUUUGGAUUGACUAAAGAAGAGAUUUACAAAAAGAAAAAAGUUUGAUGUUCAUUUCACUGACAGAGAUCGUAAUCAUAAUAACAUAUUAAAUGCUUUAGCCAUUCCAUCUCUUCAUUUGAAUGGCUUUCAUGGAAAACUUUCUUACCCUAGUGAAAUGGUCAGUCAGGAAAUGGAACUGAACACCCAAUUAGAUGCAGUUGCCUGUAGCUGAGUAUCUACUUCUGCAGUAACCACUCAACAGAAUGUUAAGCAAACCAAGAAAAGACCAUCAAAAAGGCAUUCAGAAUAUGCUGCUAUAAUGCUGGUUAUUGCAAGAAAAGAUCUUCAAAA
This is a long non-coding RNA of Pieris napi, 449 nucleotides long. RefSeq lists it as uncharacterized. NCBI's taxonomy places the organism in Eukaryota, Metazoa, Arthropoda, Insecta, Lepidoptera, Pieridae. The transcript has 4 exons. The record is from RefSeq and is a predicted model, not a curated record.